CAUAUCACUAAGAGAUGGAAAAAGUAACUAAAGAGGAACGGUUUAUUAACGGCGAGUGAACGAUCGUGCUGACGUAUUCGAAUUUAUGAAAUUGUGAUGCCUGUACGUCUUGCAGCCAAUAUACAGUGUCCUGGAACAGACCACCAUGGUCGGUGAAAGUCCGAGAGAAGGCUGUCAAGUAGCAGGAUAAGAGUCGUGUUGUGUGUUAUUGCAAUGCAAAUCGGGAGGUAAUACACUUCCAAUCAAAAAUAGUACCAUGGAUCUGAUAGCGAACAAGUACCUUGAGGGAAAGUUGAAAAGAACUUUGGAAAGAGAGUGAAAAGUACGUGCAAAUCGUUUGGAGGAAAAAGUACAGAUGAGUGAUAGCUGGGUGAUUGGCGCAAGCCUUUCCGGAUUAGCUUUGUGUGUGUUACGUCGAGUUUGUCGUUUAAACCGACUGAAUGGUAGCUCAUGAAGUGGGCGGACUCUGGUUGUACAACCCGUCUUGAAACACGGACCAAGGAGUUUGCGUGAUCUGCAAGUCAGGUGAAUUGAGCCUAUACUGGCGUAAUGAAAGUGAUACGGUGCUUGCAUCGUUAGACAGUUGUGAAUACCUAUGUUUAAACAACGUACAGUUAUUAUGACUGAUGUGGAGCAGAUUGCACUAAACCCGAAAGAUGGUGAUCUAUGCUUUGAUAGGGUGAAGCCACGGGAAACCAUGGUGGAAGCCCGUAACGGUUCUGACGUGCAAAUCGAUCGUGUAAUCUCGGUAUAGGGGCGAAAGACUAAUCGAACCAUCUAGUAGCUGGUUCCCUCUGAAGUUUCCCUCAGGAUAGCAGGUGUCCAUUUCGAACAGUUUAAUUGGUUAGAGCAAAUGAUUAGAGGUCUGGGGGGAUACGUUCUCUUCACCUAUUCUCAAACUUCGAAUCGGUUAUGUUGACUGGUGUUUCAUUAAUACCAUCAAUUCAAUGUUGAUACCUAGUGGGCUUUUUUUGGUAAGCAGAACUGGCGAUGUGGGAUGAACCAAUAGUUUCGUUAAGGUGUCUAAGAAGUACUCAUGAGUAACCAUGAAAGGUGUUGAUCGAUAUAGACAGCAGGACAGUGGCCAUGGAAGUCGGAAUCUGCUAAGGAGUGUGUAACAACUCACCUGCCGAAUCAAUCAGCCCUGAAAAAGGAUGACACUAGAGUACGAUACCGAGACGGGACUGCCAUUACCCAGACCGGAUUAGAAUGGCAAGUAAGGGGGCACAAUGGUUGCAUAGAACUGUGGAAGUGAUUCUGCGGUGAGCGGUCAUUGGAGUUGAUCUUGGUGGUAGUAGCAAUUUCAAGUGAGAUCCUUGAGAACCAACGUGGCGACAGGCUUCCAUGUGAACAGUGAUUGAACGUGGGUAAGUCCGUCCUAAGGCAAAUGCGAAAGCAGCUCAAUGAGUUUUACUCAGAUUGCAAUAGGGAAUUGCGUUAAAAUUCUCAAACCCCGACCAAUGUAGAUAACGGUGACGUUGAAGGCUUCGGUGACAGUUGCACUUGGCUGGAUGAGAGUUCUCUUUUCUUUUUGACACGAAAGAAGUCCAUGGUAACGGUCUUUGAUCACGAAAUGGAUUUUGAUUUGGCAGAAAAUAACAGCAUUUGUUAUGUUCCAUGUUUCGAUGCAGCUCCUUGAAAAACCGUAGCUCUAAUAAGUCGGGACGGUACCUAGAACCGCAUCAGGUUCCCAAGGUGAGAAGCCUCUGGUUAUGAACAGUGUAGGUAAGGGAAGUCGGCAUAGUGGAUUCGGACCUUUGGUAUAAGGAUUGGCUCUGUGGACUGGGUAUUAGGUACUCGUUACCUUUUGGUCGCUGAUUGCAUCGCGGGGCGCUCGCGUUCUGUAGUGCGUAUUGGCUUCCUUUGGGGAAUGUGGAUACUUAGUGCAAUAUACGGUCAAACACAGAACUGACACUGACACGGGGAUUCCGACUGUCUAAUUAAAACAAAGCAUUGCGAUGGCUGGAGAUCGAGUGAUGACGCAAUGUGAUUUCUGCCCAGUGCUCUGAAUGUCAAAGUGAAGAACUUCAAACAAGCGCGGGUAAACGGCGGGAGUAACUAUGACUCUCUUAAGGUAGCCAAAUGCCUCGUCAUCUAAUUAGUGACGCGCAUGAAUGGAUCAACGAGAUUCCUCCUGUCCCUAUCUACCAUCAAGUGAAACCACAGCUAGGGGAACGGGCCUAGUGUAAUUGGCGGGGAAAGAAGACCCUGUUGAGCUUGACUCUAGUUUGACAUUGUGAAGUGACUCGUGAAGUGUAGCAUAGGUGGGAGCAGGAGCAACAGUGAAAUACCACUAUUUGCGGUGUCAUUUUACUUAUCCAAUGGGGUACGCAGAAAUGCAUAUUCAAUAAUCAAGUUUUCUUCGGAGAGCGAUUGUUUGGAGAAGCUGUCAGGUUGGGAGUUUGACUGGGGCGGUACAUCUGUAAAAAGAUAACGCAGGUGUCCUAAGGUUGACUCAGCGUGGACAGAAACCUCGCGUAGAGCAAAAAGGCAAAAGUCAGCUUGAUCUGAUUUUUCAGUAUGAUUUCAGACUGCGAAAGUGUGGCCUAUCGAUCCUUUUGGUUUUAGUGUAUUUAAACAAGAGGUGUCAGAAAAGUUACCACAGGGAUAACUGGCUCGUGGCAGCCAAGCGUUCAUAGCGACGUUGCUUUUUGAUCCUUCGAUGUCGGCUCUUCCUAUCAUUGCGAAGCAGAAUUCGCAAAGUGUUGGAUUGUUCACCCACUAACAGGGAACGUGAGCUGGGUUUAGACCGUCGUGAGACAGGUUAGUUUUACCCUACUGAUGAUUGUGUGCGAUGAAGGCAUUUUUAUUUAGUACGAGAGGAACUGUAAAUACGGGCUUCUGGUUUCGUGAGUUCGCUGAAAAGUGAC
This 2870-nucleotide ribosomal RNA is filed under the name Aphanostoma finkei. RNAcentral's name for it is "partial 28S ribosomal RNA". It matches the Rfam family "Eukaryotic large subunit ribosomal RNA", at positions 39 to 3088 of the family's 3401-position model. Lineage: Eukaryota; Metazoa; Xenacoelomorpha; Acoela; Convolutidae. The record is from RNAcentral.